Non-coding RNA from Pelobates cultripes (western spadefoot toad), 201 nucleotides. NCBI's taxonomy places the organism in Eukaryota, Metazoa, Chordata, Amphibia, Anura, Pelobatidae. The record is from the annotation of a GenBank genome assembly.
CCUGAAGGGAGUGCGGUCAAUCGUGGAUGAAAAAGGCAUGGCGUGGCUGCAGGAGCAGUUGGGGGCACCGAGCACGUCUGCUUCCCCCCAUGCGGUGGCUGACUGGCGGCCAGAAAGGAGAUCAAGGCCGCCCCAGCGGCUCAGCCCAGGACCUGGGCCAACAGCGUGGAGGAAGAGGAGAGCGGAUGAGGGCAGUGUGGC